Molecule: microRNA precursor, 96 nt
Filed under: Pteropus alecto (black flying fox)
Lineage: Eukaryota; Metazoa; Chordata; Mammalia; Chiroptera; Pteropodidae
Also listed under: 1 other name
Description: mir-544 microRNA precursor family
Rfam family: mir-544 microRNA precursor family
Source: Rfam by way of RNAcentral
AUCACCUAGGUAUUUUGUUAAAAUGCAGAUUCUGAUUCAGCAGAUCUGGGGUUCCACCUGAGAAUCUGCAUUUCUAACAAGCUCUCAAGUGGCUGG